UACAAGAUAGCAAUUUAUGUUCAUAAUAAACUGUUCUCACAAGAUAAUCAUAUCAUGUGCGCUAGAUCGUAUUUUGUUAACACGAUACAAACUUGUAAGCACAUGAUUUUAACUCAUGCAUACAAGUUCAUAUGCUAACAAGAUAGACUGUAUAUAGAAUGGACAGUGUCUGCCUCCUCGCUGGGUGAAGCCACAGCGAGAACAGCACCCUCUGGUGACGAGCUGCAGUAUAGGUUAUAAAUCCCGCCUCCUCCAGCAAUCCAUAUGGAGCUGUGGACAAACUUUAGAAAUUAAUCACACAGAAUAUAAAUGUUUCUCCCCCCUGGUUGUGAUGUUGACAUGUAGUUACUGUAAGACCGGUUUGUGCUCAAGUCCUCUUUUUUCUGUGGAACUCCAUUUUUUAAAAGUUAUUCAGGGUUCAUGUUUUCAGUGAUUGACACCUGAUACAGCCUAUGGGCGUACAAAGAUUGUGUAGCUGACCCAGGGGAUACGCUGUUUGAGCCGAGCGUCAUCACAGCGACUCUUGGCGACUCUCCUGCCCAUGUAUAUAAUGCUACUGCGCAAGGUUGGCUUCAAAUCCGUAUACUGGCAGGAGGCGGAACCGAGUUGUCCGUUGUAUAUACAGUCUAUGUUUGUGCCUCUGCGGUGAUGCUCUAACUGGGUGAUUUAAUAAAAGUUACUGUAAAUGAGGAAGUUCUUUUAAACACUCUCCGAAGAAUCAAAGAGUUGGAGCGGAGGUAAAAGCCUUCCUCCCUCUUGGAGUUUUGAUUCAUCUCCAUGUAUUUCAGUCCCAGCUGCACUGUUUCAGCUGGACUCCUCAGAGAGAAGUUAUCCAUCAAACAGUCAGAGCGGCUCUGUGACGUCUUCCCGUGGAGUUUGUGUUAAUCAUGUUUGAUUCUGUCUGCGCCGCUCUUUCUGUUUGUGCUAUCUCGCUCUUUGUUGUUCUGUUUAUUAGUCGCUCAGCAGCACCUCGGGGCCGGCUGUGUUUAUUGAUUGGUUGAUUGGUUUGUUUACAUUUAAACACUUUUUUCCCCGCCGUGCACGCUGUUCAGGGAAAUCACGGUAUGCACUGUUCAGCUGAACAGAACCCUUCAGAAUGGAAAUACAAUGUGCACUCAUGCACCAUGUUGAGAUGUCAAAAUCAAUGUAGUUUCAUUCUCUCCAAAUAGUCGCCCCCUGCCUCCACCUCUUUACACUCUGGCUUCUUAAAAAAGUCCUAACAUUUUGUUUACCGCGAGAAAUGUACAAAGCAUCAUAGAAAAAUACCUCCUCCUGUUUGCUGAGGAGUUUUUCAGGGAAACUGUCUUCCAGAUGGUGUUUGGAAAUAGCUCAUAUAAAAGCUUUUAUAAACCGGACAAAGGUGAAUCACCAUCAUGUUAUAUUAGUCUGUGACACAGCAGGAGCAGGAGAGCAUAAAGGUCCGUUUUCACCGCGCAGCUGCCUUAUCUUUCCUUCAGGAUCGUCUGUCAGAUGCUACUUAAACCUGCAGCCCCUACCAUCCUCUGGGACAUCCACUGUUUAUUUGGCUGUGCAGCCCAGCAGAACUGAGCCCUGUUGGGAACAAAAGGUCACCUGACACACGUUGAAGCCGGUGUUUUGUGUAUUCCAGCUCUAGCAUGUCCACCUCUUUGUGGUUUUAUCCCCACAGCACUCCCUGUAAGGCCCUUGGAGACUAGAAAAACAUCCCCGGAGCACAAACUGUGGACGUUAUGAGUUUGCUUAGCCCUCCUGUCUAUAGGCUUACCUUCUCCUGCCCUGAAUUUCUUUCCCUUUCUUGUCUUUUAGCUGUUAUUCCUCUUGUUGUGCCUGCAGUUCCCCCCUUCUGUGAUGUAAUUUUUGUUUAAGAAGUCUUUCAAAGUCAAGAGAAAGAAUCUGAAAACGGCAGGGUUUGCCUGAAUGCCUGAUUCCCUCUAAUCCCCUGACUGAACUGCCCCCCUCCUAUGCGGUCAACGUAUAGUUGUGCGUGCACAGAUUCUGCACCGUAAGGUCACAUUUGUUUGGCUGGCUGGAUCACCACCGCGGAGGGCUAAUCCUGCAGAAUUAGUCCAUUCAGCGACCACCUCUUGACCAGGAGGCAUUGCCCAUUAAAGUGGUUACAAAAGGAAUGCCUGAGUCUUUUACAAAGGGAGUUUUUUUCCCCCUCCAUAAGGUAAAGGUAACCCACAGAGUGAGUUACAGUUCCUUCCUCUCAGUUUGAAGCCCUGUGUUGCUGAUUUCAUUCUGCUCAUUGAUUGUGCUUAUUAAACAUUUAGAGAGCAUAAUUGGAGCAUGUGCAGACUGUACUCUGAUAAUUAGUUUCUCCCUCGAACGAUGCAGCUGAGCAAGCUUUGAUUUUAUUCUAUAAAUCAGAAUAAUGCAUUUCUUUGUGUGAUCAAGAACAAAGAAACCACAGAGGGCCCGACAGCUUAAAAAUCACAUUCAACACUUUGUGAGCAUGUCUGUAGGAAAUCAAGAAUGCCAAAUUUUCUGGCAGCAGGAUACAUCCUUUUUUUUUUUUUCUUUUUCCAUGAAAAAUGUGAUCAAGAUGCCACACCAGAUUACUCCUCGUUUUCAAAUUGAGACCCAAUUCGAGCACCAGCUAUCUCCCCCUGUUGAGUGGUCUUGACAGAAGCAAUUUCCUACUCCUAAUCGAAAGAUUUCUUCAUUGGUACCAUCUACUAAAUACCAAACCAGGCUCACAGCAGCACCAGAUGUGUCCCGGCGUCCUCAGACACACUGAGGAUUAUUUGUGCUCAGAGACACGAACAGAAGGAGAGUAUGUUCAGAAUUUUAAUAUGAAGUUAAUGAAUGUGAAGAUGCAUUCAUGUUGAAAACAAUCAGUCUUUUUAUGCACGAAUUAAGUUCACUGCCUAUACUGGAGGAUGACUAUAGAAACUGAUAAAGUGGUACAGCUGACAGGAAACAAAAGUUUGAUGCUUCCAGAGAACAAGAGUCCUGGAGUGAUAACAGAAGGAGUGGGAACAUAUGCUGGAACUGGGACAUAUUUACUGUAAAUGACAGCCUGGGCUUGUGUUUGUGUCUCUCUGCCAACUCACCCUGCCUUUGUUUAUGACAGGGGUCAAUAAGAAACAGAAAAAUAUAAUCUUACUGUUUAUUAAGAGGCCAGGGUCUUUCUGGGAAAUGACUGUGUUUAACAGAAAAGUAGUUGCAGAGAAGAAACCUGUCAAGUGGUCUCACCUUGGCGUAGAGCUUUCUUCCUCCUGCAUCCAGGUUGCCUGUUCUUUCUUCUUCUUUACGAUUCUCUAACUCCUUUCAGAUUGAUCGAUAACAUCACGCUGCUGCUUCUCCAGCUUUCUCUUCAGCAAAUGUAAUAAAACUGACAGCUUUGAUUUUAGAUCAUAAUUUUGUUCUCUUUGCUUCUUUGUCAUCAAUGUUCGUUUGUCAAAAUGUACCGAAAGUAUAAUAGACUCAGCGUCUAACUGGGAUGGGAGUUAACUGGAAGUUUUAUGGUUCUUAAAGGGGAAGUUUGGUUUUGUAAAGUGGGGUGGAGGAAGGUUCUUGUCAAUAGUAUGUGUACUAACCCUGAGGAGAUCCUGGUCAGCUUGACCCCUUUGUUGAGAAACCACCAGAGAACUGACACAGAAGCCGGGCAAUCAAUCUCUGCAGACAGGAUCAGAUCUGAUACAUGAUUAAUAUCAUUGAUCACUCAGAUCCAAACAUUAGUGUCCGAGUAAAUGUGUACACUCUUGAGAAAUGCUUUAUUUUUGAAGUCAGGUUGUAUUCUUCACACAUGAUGAUAAGUGAUUAGAUAUUUGGUGGACUUUAAGAUAAAUGUUUGUUUGUUUUUUAUGGCAAAUAGGUUCACUACAGUUUAGGGCUAGGCGAUAAAACGAUAACGAUAUAUAUCGCAACAAUUAAUUUCCCUUGAUAUCGAUAUAAAACAUGGUCAAUAUCCUAUUCGAUAGUCGACAUUCUGCCAUGUUUUGGUAGACUAUACAAAUAGCCAAUGAAAAGGGGCGUUGCUUCGCACUGAAUUAGAACCAAGUAGCAAACAACUGUGUAGUAGCAGGCUGCAGCUACAUGCAACCAUAGCACUUUAACACGUGACGCCGACAGCACUGUUGGUGAGAAAAAAAAAAGAAAAUGAGUGCUACCCUCGGCAGAAAUGUAGAUGAAGGCUCAACAGAUGAUGACAACGUGAACAACACUGACACGAAAACGUCAGUGGUGUGGAGGUAUUUAGUAUUUUUGAGGUCGGACAUGAAGCAGAGUAAUGUUCACUGCAAAUUAAGAGACACAAAGACCUCACAGAUGCAGUAGCUUAUUAUUUUGCAAAAGACAUGCUACCAAUAAGCACUGUUAAAAUUCAUUUUUUAUAUCGUGAUUAACUUUUUCCCACAUCGCCCAGCCCUACGAGAGUUACAUCUGCCAAUAAAAUAAGCAGAUUUUAGUGUUUAUCAUAUUUAAUGGAAUUAAAUGUGUGUUUGUGUAUAAAUAAUCUGGCUCUUAGCAUUUCUGUUUCCUCCUACACAUGGACAUGCAUGGAGCACAGUUUGACUUUUUUAAGUUUCACUCCCUGUUUUGUGCAGAUAAAUGCUUAUAAAUGAGACCCUUGCGUCACCUAUGAGAAAAUGCUUAUUAAUGAUGAGUACCACACUUCAGAAGAGCCAAACUGUCCCUUUAAUAUUUAACUAGAAAAAAGACACUAAAAAUGUGAAGAAAAGUAAUGAGACGGGAGGCGUCAAUUAAGCUGACUUUAAAGCACUGUUACACCUUCUCCUAACUGGCUGCUGUAGCGGAGUUGUUUUCUAAGCUGUCACUUAUUUCCAGCUCUUUAUUCAGUCAGUAGGAGUUUGUGGCAUGUUUUCCUCCGUCUCUCUCACUCUCUGUUUUCUGGAUGCUUUCAACUGCACAACACUGGGACCAGAUAGUAGAAAGGAAGUAAACAAUGAGUGUGCUUUCUGAUUUCAAUGUCCCGUUUGAUUGGAUAAUAAUAUUUGCCAGGGCCCUCUAAAAAUAAUAAUGACAACAACAACAGCAGUGUUCGUUUACCAUUUAUUUAGCUGGGUUCUGAUUUAGUUUUCAACACAAAUUAAUUAGUCAAAGUUUGGGGACAUUGUCGGAAUAACAGCUCUGGUCGAGGUCGGACAGUCCUUGCAAAACAGCUCAACAAGUGAAGUGUUUUUGCAGACCAAACCCUUCAAGCCCAACCUUGUUUUUUCUUCUUUGAACCACUUUUACAAUGUUAUGCUGCUUCCACCUUGGCCUCAGACUGGCAGGAGUCGUGAUUAGCACAACCUGCAAGGGUCCUUGACAGGACGGCAACAGCUGUGUCUCUUUUUUGUCUUCAGAGAACAGUCUCAUGUUGAGGAC
This 5313-nucleotide long non-coding RNA is filed under the name Xyrichtys novacula (pearly razorfish). The record is from RNAcentral. Lineage: Eukaryota; Metazoa; Chordata; Actinopteri; Labriformes; Labridae.